GACGAACGCUGGCGGCGUGCCUAAUACAUGCAAGUAGAACGCUGAAGGAGGAGCUUGCUCUUCUGGAUGAGUUGCGAACGGGUGAGUAACGCGUAGGUAACCUGCCUGGUAGCGGGGGAUAACUAUUGGAAACGAUAGCUAAUACCGCAUAAGAGUAGAUGUUGCAUGACAUUUGCUUAAAAGGUGCAAUUGCAUCACUACCAGAUGGACCUGCGUUGUAUUAGCUAGUUGGUGGGGUAACGGCUCACCAAGGCGACGAUACAUAGCCGACCUGAGAGGGUGAUCGGCCACACUGGGACUGAGACACGGCCCAGACUCCUACGGGAGGCAGCAGUAGGGAAUCUUCGGCAAUGGACGGAAGUCUGACCGAGCAACGCCGCGUGAGUGAAGAAGGUUUUCGGAUCGUAAAGCCCUGUUGUAAGAGAAGAACGAGUGUGAGAGUGGAAAGUUCACACUGUGACGGUAUCUUACCAGAAAGGGACGGCUAACUACGUG
This 495-nucleotide ribosomal RNA is filed under the name uncultured bacterium. Its description in RNAcentral is "partial 16S ribosomal RNA". It matches the Rfam family "Bacterial small subunit ribosomal RNA", at positions 28 to 507 of the family's 1533-position model. The record is from RNAcentral.